Molecule: transfer RNA, 87 nt
Filed under: Ustilaginoidea virens
Lineage: Eukaryota; Fungi; Ascomycota; Sordariomycetes; Hypocreales; Clavicipitaceae
Rfam family: tRNA
About the family: Transfer RNA (tRNA) molecules are approximately 80 nucleotides in length.
Source: Rfam by way of RNAcentral
GGCCCAUUAGUCUAGGGGUUAGGACGUUGGAUUUUGACUAAGCUUCGGAAUCUUCCAAAGACACCAGUUCGAAUCUGGUAUGGGCCU